GGCCCCGUGGUGUAGUUGGUCAACAUGCCUGCCUGUCACGCAGGAGAUCGUCGGUUCAAGUCCGAUCGGGGUCGCCA
Molecule: transfer RNA, 77 nt
Filed under: Gracilibacteraceae bacterium
Lineage: Bacteria; Bacillati; Bacillota; Clostridia; Eubacteriales; Gracilibacteraceae
Description: tRNA-Asp
Rfam family: tRNA
About the family: Transfer RNA (tRNA) molecules are approximately 80 nucleotides in length. Their secondary structure includes four short double-helical elements and three loops (D, anti-codon, and T loops).
Source: RNAcentral